This 1283-nucleotide long non-coding RNA is filed under the name Anas platyrhynchos platyrhynchos (common mallard). RNAcentral's name for it is "lncRNA (ENSAPLG00000026654.1)". Lineage: Eukaryota; Metazoa; Chordata; Aves; Anseriformes; Anatidae. The record is from RNAcentral.
CAGGAUAUACAGGGAGAAAGGCCAUAGCGAAGAAAAGACAUAAAUAUUGACAUGCCAUUGAAUCAAAAUAAUUCAGUAUCUAUACAACAUCGGUAUUGUAAUCAUAAGAAGACAUAGAGAAAUAUUAAAAUCUGAAUUAAACCAGCUGUAUCUUUAUUAUCCUUCAAAUGGACCAGACUCCUGUAUCAGUAUUUUUUUGUUUUUGGUCCCUAGAGCUGCAGACACCAAUGUAGGAGGAGACACCUGUCAUCCUCUAUAUUGCUGGAAAGGAAUGCCCUCUCAUUUUCAGAUGGAAUUUCCUCUGCUCCAGUUUGUGCCCAUUGCCCCACCUGCUACCCUGCUUCCUUCUCCCCUGUCCAGCAUGCUCCUUCAUUCACCAACACCUGGAUGGAGCUCAGAAACUCCCACACCAUCAGUAACGAAAGAUUUUUUCCCUCUCCUAAGUCCCUGUAGUAAAAGACAGUAAAUGUGGGAUGUGGAUCUUUUCGUUAUUUUUUUUAAGUAUGAAAAAUGGGAAAAAGAAAAAUUCUGCUUUAGUUUUGCAAAAAAUAUUCCUGCUAUGGAAAGGGAUAUUUUCUGUUGACCCUAUUGCAAACCAGGAUAGUACAUAUUAAUAUACAUAAUAGUACAUAUACAUAGUGGUUGUUCAUAUAUAUGUUUAUAUAGGCUUGCUUAAUUACACAUUUGUAUGUAUAUAUAUCAUACAUAAGUAUGUAUAGUAUAGUAUAGUAAGUAUACCAAAGGGUGUAUUUUCCUACAUAUGCAAUACAGGGAGAAAGGUAUAGCUUUCAGUUGUAACAAUAAGUUGUAUCAAUAAGCUCUUGCAUUUUGAAAAUGUCAUUGUACUGGGAGUAGGGGGAACAUUCAUUCCAUGCUUGCUGUGUAGCAUAUAACAUUGCAUACCUGGUGAACAUGAUUGAAAAUGAUCAUAAAACACCCUUGUAAAUGUUCUAUGCAUUAUUUGGGUUUGUCUUUUUUGUUUGUUUGUUUUGUUUUAUUGUCUGUUUUAUUUUUCUCCUAACCUUGAACCUUUGUAAUCUGGACUGAGAAAAUUUACAAAAUGCAAUGGUGAAUUUAGGAGACUGGCUUUUGUUAUCAUGUGUCUACACAUUUACUUAUUUGGCAAACAUUUUUUUUUUAUGAACAUACUGUAUCACUUCCUAUUUUAAAUUAAGGUUAUCAUAGAAAUCAAAACAAAUUAAAGAUCCAUUUGCUUUUCUGUGCAGGGUAAACUAGUACAGUUCUGCAAUAAAGUUUUAAUCAAUUUUGUGUUCUACUUGAAA